RNAcentral lists this ribosomal RNA (517 nucleotides) under uncultured bacterium. RNAcentral describes it as "bacterial SSU rRNA". It matches the Rfam family "Bacterial small subunit ribosomal RNA", at positions 367 to 877 of the family's 1533-position model. The record is from RNAcentral.
GACAAUGGGCGCAAGCCUGAUCCAGCAAUGCCGCGUGCAGGAUGAAGGCCUUCGGGUUGUAAACUGCUUUUGUACGGAACGAAAAGCCCUGGGUUAAUACCCUGGGGUCAUGACGGUACCGUAAGAAUAAGCACCGGCUAACUACGUGCCAGCAGCCGCGGUAAUACGUAGGGUGCAAGCGUUAAUCGGAAUUACUGGGCGUAAAGCGUGCGCAGGCGGUUUUGUAAGACAGUGGUGAAAUCCCCGGGCUCAACCUGGGAACUGCCAUUGUGACUGCAAGGCUAGAGUGCGGCAGAGGGGGAUGGAAUUCCGCGUGUAGCAGUGAAAUGCGUAGAUAUGCGGAGGAACACCGAUGGCGAAGGCAAUCCCCUGGGCCUGCACUGACGCUCAUGCACGAAAGCGUGGGGAGCAAACAGGAUUAGAUACCCUGGUAGUCCACGCCCUAAACGAUGUCAACUGGUUGUUGGGUCUUAACUGACUCAGUAACGAAGCUAACGCGUGAAGUUGACCGCCUGGG